Molecule: ribosomal RNA, 468 nt
Filed under: uncultured bacterium
Lineage: Bacteria
Description: partial 16S ribosomal RNA
Rfam family: Bacterial small subunit ribosomal RNA
Source: RNAcentral
GACGAACGCUGGCGGCGUGCUUAACACAUGCAAGUCGAACGGAAAGGCCCUGCUUUUGUGGGGUGCUCGAGUGGCGAACGGGUGAGUAACACGUGAGUAACCUGCCCUUGACUUUGGGAUAACUUCAGGAAACUGGGGCUAAUACCGGAUAGGAGCUCCUGCUGCAUGGUGGGGGUUGGAAAGUUUCGGCGGUUGGGGAUGGACUCGCGGCUUAUCAGCUUGUUGGUGGGGUAGUGGCUUACCAAGGCUUUGACGGGUAGCCGGCCUGAGAGGGUGAACGGCCACAUUGGGAGUGACAUGCGGCCGGGACUCCUACGGGAGGCAGCAGUGGGGAAUAUUGCAUAAGGGGCGGAAGCCUGAUGCAGCAACGCAGCGUGCGGGAUGAAGGCCUGCGGGUUGUAUGCCGAUUUCGCCUGUGACGAAGCGUGAGUGACGGUAAUGGGUAAAGAAGCACCGGCUAACUACGUG